GUGUCAGCAGCCGCGGUAAUACGGAGGGAGCAAGCGUUACUCGGAAUUAUUGGGCGUAAAGGGCGCGUAGGCUAUUUGACAAGUCUCGUGUGAAAGCCCAGAGCUUAACUCUGGAAGUGCAUGAGAAACUGUUAGAUUUGAGUUCCGGAGAGGAAGGCAGAAUUCCCGGUGUAGCGGUGAAAUGCGUAGAUAUCGGGAGGAAUACCAGUGGCGAAGGCGGCCUUCUGGACGGAUACUGACGCUGAGGCGCGAAAGCCAGGGGAGCAAACGGGAUUAGAUACCCGAGUAGUCC
Molecule: ribosomal RNA, 292 nt
Filed under: uncultured bacterium
Lineage: Bacteria
Description: partial 16S ribosomal RNA
Rfam family: Bacterial small subunit ribosomal RNA
Source: RNAcentral